AUAGCGUAUAUUAAAGUUGUUGUGGUUAAAAAGCUCGUAGUUGAACCUUGGGCCUGGCUGGUCGGUCCGCCUCACCGCGUGCACUGAUCCGGCCGGGCCUUUCCCUCUGUGAAACCCCAUGGCCUUCGCUGGUUGUGGUGGGGAAGCAGGACUUUUACUUUGAAAAAAUUAGAGUGUUCAAAGCAGGCCUAUGCUCGGAUACAUUAGCAUGGAAUAAUGGAAUAGGACGUGUGGUUCUAUUUUGUUGGUUUCUAGGACCGCUGUAAUGAUUAAUAGGGACAGUCGGGGGCAUCAGUAUUCAAUUGUCAGAGGUGAAAUUCUUGGAUUUAUUGAAGACUAACUACUG
RNAcentral lists this ribosomal RNA (346 nucleotides) under Pisorisporium cymbiforme. Its description in RNAcentral is "SSU rRNA". It matches the Rfam family "Eukaryotic small subunit ribosomal RNA", at positions 594 to 945 of the family's 1831-position model. The record is from RNAcentral. Lineage: Eukaryota; Fungi; Ascomycota; Sordariomycetes; Pisorisporiales; Pisorisporiaceae.